GACGAACGCUGGCGGCGUGCUUAACACAUGCAAGUCGAACGGAAAGGCCCUGCUUUUGUGGGGUGCUCGAGUGGCGAACGGGUGAGUAACACGUGAGUAACCUGCCCUUGACUUUGGGAUAACUUCAGGAAACUGGGGCUAAUACCGGAUAGGAGCUCCUGCUGCAUGGUGGGGGUUGGAAAGUUUCGGCGGUUGGGGAUGGACUCGCGGCUUAUCAGCUUGUUGGUGGGGUAGUGGCUUACCAAGGCUUUGACGGGUAGCCGGCCUGAGAGGGUGACCGGCCACAUUGGGACUGAGAUACGGACCAGACUCGUACGGGAGGCAGCAGUGGGGAAUAUUGCACAAUGGGCGGAAGCCUGAUGCAGCAACGCCGCGUGCGGGAUGACGGCCUUCGGGUUGUAAACAGCUUUCGCCUGUGACGAAGCGUGAGUGACGGUAAUGGGUAAAGAAGCACCGGCUAACUACGUG
RNAcentral lists this ribosomal RNA (468 nucleotides) under uncultured bacterium. RNAcentral's name for it is "partial 16S ribosomal RNA". It matches the Rfam family "Bacterial small subunit ribosomal RNA", at positions 28 to 507 of the family's 1533-position model. The record is from RNAcentral.